This is a long non-coding RNA of Astatotilapia calliptera (eastern happy), 1024 nucleotides long. NCBI's taxonomy places the organism in Eukaryota, Metazoa, Chordata, Actinopteri, Cichliformes, Cichlidae. The record is from Ensembl.
GGAAGAGAAUAUGCAGAAUAGUAGUUUCCUGUCAGUACUGGUUCACUUUUUUUUUUGGGUAAAUUCGGGGAUUUUUUUUGGUAAAGUUCCCUUUAGUCGUUUAUUUAGUUAUUUAUUUCAGUAUGGCAUCAUCAGUGUAUUUAAAAAUGCAUAUCAUGACUUAUAAACUGUCACUUUUGAGGAAGUCCUGGCACAGUAUUUUACAUUUCCCCUCCACUUAGAGGUGAGUUUUGCUAAUAGUUACUGAUCUUUGAGUACUUCUGAGCAGAAUGAUGUGUGUUCAGAGUUUGAUACUACUUCAUGUGCCUUUAAAGUCGUGUGCUGGGAGUAAGACCUGAGUUAAAGAUGUGGGCAGUUUGGUGUUCUUCUGAAUGAGGCUGCAGUCGUCAGGGAGUGCAAUUUAAGUGUAUGGCGGUUGAACUGGCAUUAAUCUUUGGGAAUGCACCAUGUUUUUAUCCCUUGUGACCCGUCCGUAAAUUCAUGUCCCACAAAAACAUUUUUUAUUUUUUUAUUUUAGUAUAUUAGAAUCUGGUCAUGCUGUUUUGAGCUGGUAAUGUGUCCAGCGUUUCCCCCCUGACUUUCGCCCAGUUUUAGCUGGGAUAACUAUCACUUAACUACUUAUCCAACUUAGCUAAGUGGAUCUGGUCGUCUCAGUGUGAAUGUCAGGACCUAAGACUUAUAAUAGGAUAAAUCAGGUUUUCCACUUCAUGUCUGGGUUCCUUUUUUCCUUUUAACUGUUGUGGCGGAACAGUGUAUAUAUUUAAACUUUACAGCCUUUUUGGUGUAGUUCAUAUAUAGGUCCAGAAGAUGGCAGCAGAUGGCUAUGCUGAUGCCUGCUGCAGCGGCACAUUGCCGACGGACGUGGUGUUGUGUCCAGCGUAAUAUUUGCCUCCUCACAGAUGAUAAAAAAUUUCUCCCUUGCUCCAUCGUCUCGACUGUUUCAGCACAUUAGUCUCUAUAGGUAAGCCCCGCCCAUAAAUAAAGACCCCGCCCUCUGCUGACGGAGGAAAGGUCUAAGGUUGCU